ACACCUGCAUGGCUGUGGAGCUGCGGGUUUGCUCAAUAGCACUUUGAUAUCCCUUAAGGCCGUCAAUUACACUUCUGUCCCUGCCAGCGUGGACUUUGGCGGAUACAAAGAUAGGGAAGCUUAGAGAGGAUGAAGAGGAAGAGGACGGUGAGCUCCCCUGGGAUCUGAGGCCAGACACUGUCUGGAGGAAACAGUUGAACAAAAUGUACACAACGGUGUCCAAACUUCUUAAGUGCUCCCAGAUUUGGAAAUAAUGUUUAUUUAUGGAGCUUUCAGAAAGUCCAGAUGGAUCUGAAAGACUGUGCCACCACCCGCAAGCUUGAAAACACCGCAGGAAGCCAUCCCGGCAUUGUGAGCAGACUAAUCGCCACGUACCACUCGGUUUCCUUCCUGGACUGCGUCACAGGCCGUAGCCCUGUGGUUCCCACAUUGUUCCUGUCAUCAUCCCAAGAAGCAUAACUCUUGAUCCUGAGUCUGGGCGGGACAGCCUGUCUCAGCACGAGCGCUUAUGUAAGUGGCUGUGGGGCGA
Molecule: long non-coding RNA, 529 nt
Organism: Camelus dromedarius (Arabian camel)
Lineage: Eukaryota; Metazoa; Chordata; Mammalia; Artiodactyla; Camelidae
Exons: 3
Source: RefSeq, a predicted model, not a curated record